This 385-nucleotide ribosomal RNA is filed under the name Debaryomyces hansenii. Its description in RNAcentral is "LSU rRNA". It matches the Rfam family "Eukaryotic large subunit ribosomal RNA", at positions 66 to 446 of the family's 3401-position model. Lineage: Eukaryota; Fungi; Ascomycota; Pichiomycetes; Serinales; Debaryomycetaceae. The record is from RNAcentral.
CAACAGGGCAUUGCCUUAGUAACGGCGAGUGAAGCGGCAAAAGCUCAAAUUUGAAAUCUGGCACCUUCGGUGUCCGAGUUGUAAUUUGAAGAAGGUAACUUUGGAGUUGGCUCUUGUCUAUGUUCCUUGGAACAGGACGUCACAGAGGGUGAGAAUCCCGUGCGAUGAGAUGCCCAAUUCUAUGUAAAGUGCUUUCGAAGAGUCGAGUUGUUUGGGAAUGCAGCUCUAAGUGGGUGGUAAAUUCCAUCUAAAGCUAAAUAUUGGCGAGAGACCGAUAGCGAACAAGUACAGUGAUGGAAAGAUGAAAAGAACUUUGAAAAGAGAGUGAAAAAGUACGUGAAAUUGUUGAAAGGGGAAGGGCUUGAGAUCAGAACUUGGAUUUUGC